Molecule: ribosomal RNA, 544 nt
Filed under: uncultured bacterium
Lineage: Bacteria
Description: bacterial SSU rRNA
Rfam family: Bacterial small subunit ribosomal RNA
Source: RNAcentral
AAUAGAUACCCAGGUAGUCCACCCCGUAAACGUUGGGAACUAGUUGUGGGGUCCUUUCCACGGAUUCCGUGACGCAGCUAACGCAUUAAGUUCCCCGCCUGGGGAGUACGGCCGCAAGGCUAAAACUCAAAGGAAUUGACGGGGACCCGCACAAGCGGCGGAGCAUGCGGAUUAAUUCGAUGCAACGCGAAGAACCUUACCAAGGCUUGACAUACACCAGAACACCCUAGAAAUAGGGGACUCUUUGGACACUGGUGAACAGGUGGUGCAUGGUUGUCGUCAGCUCGUGUCGUGAGAUGUUGGGUUAAGUCCCGCAACGAGCGCAACCCUCGUUCUAUGUUGCCAGCACGUAAUGGUGGGAACUCAUGGGAUACUGCCGGGGUCAACUCGGAGGAAGGUGGGGAUGACGUCAAAUCAUCUUGCCCCUUAUGUCUUGGGCUUCACGCAUGCUACAAUGGCCGGUACAAAGGGCUGCAAUACCGUGAGGUGAGCGAAUCCCAAAAAGCCGGUCCCAGUUCGGAUUGAGGUCUGCAACUCGACCUCA